Molecule: long non-coding RNA, 143 nt
Organism: Sander lucioperca (pikeperch)
Lineage: Eukaryota; Metazoa; Chordata; Actinopteri; Perciformes; Percidae
Exons: 3
Source: RefSeq, a predicted model, not a curated record
UGUAUAAAUGACAACACCAUAAGCCCAUCAAACACGUCUCUCCCCAGCACAAAGCUUGUUAGGAGCCCACCAGAAAGCUCAGGUACUUUCCCCAUUUCCUAGUAUAUACAUCCAAUCUGGCCAACCGUUCAGAAAAUGUAAUC